AUACCAGGAGGUUCUAGGCCGAAU
This 24-nucleotide non-coding RNA is filed under the name Arabidopsis thaliana (thale cress). Lineage: Eukaryota; Viridiplantae; Streptophyta; Magnoliopsida; Brassicales; Brassicaceae. The record is from RNAcentral.